CUUCGUCACAUGUGGAUGCUCAGCCGGAGGUGGUCCGGUGGAGGCCCCUGAGGUCAGAGAAGCGCAUUUCGGCCUCGAAGGAGAACCUCUCCUGCUCCGGACCGAUUUGAGGACGUCCCUGGAUUAUGUGAUUCACAGCAGGUCUGCAGUCUUGCCUGGCCUCUGGCAGCAGAGAGAGCACGUGUUGCAGGUUCCCUGGAAGCUUCUGAGACUAAGACAACGAAAGCUUUGAGGCGCCGUUCACACCACGAAGUCGGAGUGGUACUUAAUCUGCUAGACAGUGACUGUCAUCACUGAGAGUCUCUGGCCCUGGGUAACGUGCUGCUGGUAUUUUAAGAAACAUUCCUGUACUUCCUCUUUUCACUUCGCUAUCACAGCCGGCCACACUCAGAGGCACCUUGCUCUACUCACUGCCCAGGGCCGGGACCGGCCAGUCCGUCCGUCCCAGAGCAUCCCAGAGCAUCCCAGAGCAUCCCAGAGCACGCGCCGAUGCUCCUGUGGGCAUCUCUGCUGGUCCUGGCUCCAGUCUGUGGACAGCUUGAAGCUGCAUCCAAACCCGUGAUUUCGCUCCAUCCUCCAUGGACCGUCGCCUUCAGAGGAGAGACAGUGACCCUGACUUGCAAUGUAUUUCACUCCCACGCUCCAGAGAAAAUAAAACGGUUCCUUUGGUACCUUGGGAGGAGAAUGCUACGCGAAACCCCAGGCAACACCCUGGAGGUCCGUGACUCCGGACAGUACAGAUGCCAGACCCAGGACUCGCUCCCAAGUGACCAAGUGAACAUGAUCUUUUCUUCAGGCUGGCUGGUGCUCCAGGCUCCACAUGGCGUGUUUGAAGGUGACACACUGGUCCUGAGGUGCCAGACGAGGAGUCGAGAGACACUGACCUCUGUGAAGUACAUUUGGAACGGAAAAGUCAUCUCCGCCUCCAAUCAGAGCCAGGACCUUUCGAUACCACGAGCAAGUUCAAACAACAGUGGCUUCUACCACUGCACUGGGCGUGUGGACAAAAUGCACACAUGGAGGUCAAAUACCAAGUCUGUUCAAAUUCAAGAACUGUUUCCACACCCGAAGCUGAAAGUCACCCCCUCCCAGCCCACAGAGGGCAGCUCUGUGAACCUGAGCUGCGAAACUCAGCUGCCUCCAGAGCGGCCGGACACUGUGCUUCAUUUCACCUUCUUCAGGGACCACAGGGUCGUGCUGUCAGACUGGAGCCGGUCCCCGGAACUGCAGAUCACAGCCAUCUGGAGACAAGACGCGGGGUCAUACACGUGCGGGGCUGCUGCGGCCCAGGGCGUCCACAAGCUCAGCCUCCCGGUGCACGUCUACGUGCAGGGGGUCCCGGUGUCCGGAGUGCUCCUGGAGACCCAGCCCCCGGAGGGCCGGGCACUUGCGGGGGAGCCUCUGGUCCUCAUCUGCUCCGCGGCCGAAGGCACAGGAGACACCACGUUCUCCUGGCACCGGGAGGACACGGGGGAGAGUCUGGGGAGGAAACGUUGGCGUUCCCAGAGGGCGCAGCUGGAGAUCCCUGCGGUCGGCAGGAGCCACGCGGGGGGCUACUUCUGCACGGCCGACAACGGCCACGGCCUCGCCUGCAGCGCGGUCCUGAACGUCACUGUCACAGGCACUCCAGGGAACAGAAUGGGCCUCAUUGCUGCGGGAGCCACUGGGGGGCUGCUCAGCGUUCUUGUCCUGGCUACAGGCCUGCUGAUUUACCGCCGGCACCAGAGGAAGUCAGGAGAUGGUUCUCCAGGAAACACAACCAGGAGCUCUCCCGCCACAGGCCCAGGACAGGCCCCCCAUGGCAGGUGCCAGGGACAGAAAGACAGCCCAGUGGAGCUCCAGCAUUUGUACGGCAAUGGGAGUCUCGGAGAGGGACACUUGGUAUAUUCUGAGAUCCAGACUAUUCGACCGGGGCAAGAAGGGGAAGGUAAGUCACUGGGGAAGAUCCUGGUUGCAAACUAUACUCCUUCAUUCAACACGUGUUUACUGAGUACCCCCUACGUGCUAGGCGCCGCAGUGAGUACACGGAGUCGAUCGGCAGACAAGGCAGGUGGAAAUCCCUGUAGGCGGAGCUUAGAUUCCAAAGAGAGAAGACAGACUCCAAAAGAUGCUUCCGUGUAUCUCCUGACGAUCAGAUCCUUCUGAUCGAUAUUGUGACCGUGAAGGCGGACGUCUGAAAAUUUCCCUGAAGUAAUGAAUUAAGUAUUUAAGUAAUGAGGUUUACAAGCCACCUGCUAUGUGGUGAGAACGUGUGUAGAUACACGUUCACAUAACGUAUAUAAAUAUAGACACAUAUGUUCGGUUCAUUCAUCUAAACAGCCCCAUGUAGCCAAUAUACGGAACAAGCGAGACUGAGGCCUUAAUUACAAAAAUGUGUUUCCCCACUGUUUCUUGAAACUUUGCUCUGCGGGAGAUCUUCCCACACGCUCAGGGUGAACAUUUUGGCAGCAAAGGCUUUUCAGUACACUCUCCAUUCUCGUAGGUAACAGACAGCAGGUGGACACGGCAUGUCACAGUGUCAAGUCAGCAGCUAGAAUAUCCAGUUCAAGAUGUUCAUCAAAGCUUAGCCCUCCACUAGUUCAGGCAAACUUCAGAACGGGAGCUGGUGGCGGUGAGAGGGCAGGGUGGAGUUGGCCUCUCUGUUUCUGUGGCUGGUCUCCCUUCAGCAUCCUGGAGGGUGCUGGGGACCUGGGUGGGAAAGGACUCGCCCGGCUGGUGCUUGGGAGCUGGCGUCCACCUGUCUGGCAACAGGUGCAGAAGAAGGCCGUUCCUUGAGAGGUGAGUGAGUGCUGUCUUCUGACUUCCCGCCUGACACUCUUUCCUGCCGCUCCUUGGUACAGCGGCCGUCUCUAAUCCAGUUUUUGUGACCCUUCAGUGGCCUCAUCCCCACCUGUUCGCAUCCAGCUUCCCACCGUUGGAGUCCUUUGGGAGCCGUGGGCCCUACUGGGCUGGGGCUCCAUGGCUGCACUCCCAUCUUCUGUCCAAGCUGGACACAUCCGUCCAUGGGGACACGUAAGGAUAGGUGACAGAUAGUCAAUUAAUUUUAACAAGUGUAUCCAGUCCCAGACCCACCACCACCAUCAGGACAUAGAACACUCCCAACACCCCUCCUGCCCCUUUGCAGAUAACUUUUCCAGCUCCGCCCCAGCCACCAAUGGCCCACUUUCUGUCCCUGGAGUUUUGCUUUUCUAUAAUUUCAUGUAAAUGAAAUCAUAUGCAAUGUAGUCUCUUUGUCUGGCCUCUUUCCCAUAACAUAAUGUUUUGCAACUCAUCCGUAUUCUAGCAUAUUCUAAGUAGUUCACUGCUACUUUUUUUGAUGUGGAAAAAGCUGUACAUAUUUAAUGUAUACAACUGGACGAUUUGAGGAUAAGUAUAUGCCAGCGAAGCCAUCACCAUCCUCAAGGCCAAAAGCAUGGGUAGUGUCUCCUAAAAUUUUAUUCCACCCAUUCUUAUUUUUUAUUAUGAUCAUUACUAUCAUCAUCAUGAUUAUUAUGUGUGUGUGUGGUUAGGACACUUAACACAGAUCUACCCUCUUAGCAAAUCGUAAGUGUGCAAUACACUAUCGCCAGCUACAGGCACAGUGCUCCCUAGUGGAUCCACAGAACUCAUCCUAUGUAACUUAAACCCUGUACCCUUUGACCAUUCCUUCUGUUCCCCCUCCCACAGCCCCUGGGUACCACUAUCCUACCGUCUGUUUCUAUGAGCUUGACUAUUUCAGAUUCUGCACAUAAAGUGAGCACGUGCAGGAUUUUUCUUUCUGUGUCUGGCUUUGUUUACUUAGCCCAGCAACGUCCAGGUCCACCCAUGGUGUCAAAAUGUCAGGAUUUCCUUCUUUGUUACGGACGAAUUAUAUUCCAGUGUGUGUGUGUGUGUGUGUGUGUGUGUGUGUGUGUGACAUAUUCUUUACCUAUUCAUCUGUUCGGGGACGCUUAGGUGGUUCCCAUGUCUUGACUACCGUGAAUAAUGCUGUAGCAAACACGGGGUGUAGCUAUCUCUUCAGGAUCCUGAUUUUUAAUUCCUUUGGGUGCAAACCCAGAAAUGGGAUUGUUGGAUCAUAUGGUAGUUCUAUUUGUAAUUUUUUGAGGACCCUCCAUAUUGUCUUCCACGGUGGCUGCACCAACUUACAUCUCCACCAACAGGGCACAAGGGCUACCUUUCCUCCUCUUCCUCCCCAACACUUGUUAGCUCUUGCCCUUGUAAUGACAGCCAUCCUAACGGGUGUGAGGUGACAUCUCAUGGUGGCUUUUAUUUGUAUGUCUCUAAUGAUCAGUGAUGUUGCCAUAGUACCUCUGCUGGCCAUCUGUCUUUGGAGAAAUGUAUAUUCAGGUCUUUUGCCCGUUUUUAGUUAAGGCAGUAGUGGGAGGAUUCUGGCUAUUGAGUUCCCUGUGUUCCUUAUAUAUUUUGGAUAUUAACCCCUUAUCAGGUAUAUAGCGAGCACAUAUUUUCUCCCACUUCAUAGGUGGCUUUUCCAAAUACAGCAGCUCACUUGCAAAUUAAAAUCCCCUAUAUCUUCGUAGUAGAAAUCUCCACUGUAGUAUAAUCUUGCACUUGUGUUACAAAUGGCAUUAGGGCCUUCCCAAGAUCACAAAUCCAGCAAAAGACGAACCGAAGACCAAGUCUUCUGUCUUGCUGCAAGAUCUCCUGCUUAUAGAGCCUAUCACCGUCCUUGACCAACACUGACCACCUGCCUUGUCCGUCACUUGGCUUUCUCAGCCACCCCCAUGAGUCAGGACCCUUUGAGUGGCAGAAUCAGAACUGCCUCCAAGUUGUUGGGGUUAAUUGAAGGCGUCUUCUAGAAUUACCUUGAUCAUGUACUGUUGUUCACACUCUUUAACGGAUUUGUCAGAACACCACUGAAGCUGAGCACUGUGUUGGUGGACAACUUCUAUCUCAGGCACUUUAUUUACUAAUGAUCUGUAGCAAGACUUCUUCCCCAGUUCCCUGAGGUUUGCAGGUAACCCCUAAAAUUGUACACAUAGUUCGACACGUAUGACUAUAAUUCUGGGAAGAGAGAACCUAGGUUCUAUCACAUCGUUAAGAAGAUCUGUAACCCUGAAAGGUCGAUGGUAAGAACACAGUGAUAAAGAGAAGCCUCAAUUGUCCCAGAAGCAUUUUUUAUUAGGCUCUGUCUCCAUACAUCACUAUGUGGCUAUGAUGCUUCCAUCCAGUUCUCUGAGACUCUUAAUUCCCAACACGUAGGAUCUGGCAAAUCCCAUCAGCUAAACCUCCCUCUCACUGCAGCUCCCUUUCUGGAGAACUGUGGAGAUAAAGCUAAGAACGAGAACCCGUUAAUGUGACAGAGGGUUUUCCCGUGGGCACGCACGUGAAGCACUCUCAUGGGAACCCGCCGAGCAGUCGGGGGUACUCUGAGGUUGGAGUCAGGAGGAGGUGCUGUUAGCUAAGAGAGGCAAAGAUUAAAGCAGAGAGAAAUUCUGUGUUGACACGUGGUAAAGGCAGGAAGCAAGGUUUCUUGGCGUGGUCGUGAGGAAGGACCUUACAGAUCAAUGGAGAUUACAGACAGCUUGCAGAGGGCUGGGCUACGAAACGGUAAGACAGAAAACCACCUGUGCUGCGGGGCACAUUGGAGGUCGGGGGUGGGGGGGGGAGCAGAAGCACCGGUGCAAAGGGUUCAGUGGCUCCCAGCCUCUGGGGGGAAAGCUCGCAGCCUGGGUUGAGCGGGUCGGGAUGCCCGUAGUUCAGUGAGUGCCUUUCCCUCCACAGCCAGUGCCUCCGGAGCGUCCCUAGAGGACAAGCAUGCCGCCGUUAUCUACUCCUCGGUGAAGACACAGCUCCAAGGGGACUCUGCCGGAAAGGUCAGGUCUCAGCAUGGAGAUGCCACGGACAGUUACGAGAAUGUCCCACCUGCAUGA
Molecule: RNA transcript, 5870 nt
Organism: Prionailurus viverrinus (fishing cat)
Lineage: Eukaryota; Metazoa; Chordata; Mammalia; Carnivora; Felidae
Gene: FCRL4
Gene name: Fc receptor like 4
Exons: 11
Source: RefSeq, a predicted model, not a curated record